This 1357-nucleotide long non-coding RNA is filed under the name Homo sapiens (human). Its description in RNAcentral is "HSALNT0289703". The record is from RNAcentral. Lineage: Eukaryota; Metazoa; Chordata; Mammalia; Primates; Hominidae.
GCUUGCGCACUGGCGGGCGGCUCCGGGCACCGUUAGUGGGCGCGAGAGCCCCAGACCCCGAAGCCGCGCGCUUCCCUCCCCAUGUGCCACGGCCCAGGGCGGCAGGCCCGGCUGAGGGCGACCCCGGUGGAGAAAGAACCCCGACCCUCCCGCCUCCCGGCUCCCGCCUUGUCCUCCGCUCCCACGCCCCACCCGGCCCUUAGGGGAGGCGCGGCGCGGCCCGGGCAUGGAGCGUCCCGGGCCCCUGGAGGCUCAGUGGAGGGUUGGGCUCCAGGGAGCUCAGAGCUCUCUCGUUCAGGGACCCGAGAGUGACACGCGUGGCAUCUCUUUGCAACCCACGUCCGCGCCGCAGCACCCUCCCCUGCAGGUGCCUGCCCAGCCCCGGGAUGCCCCUGACCUCCCCUUGGACAGACUGCAGAAAGCGCGGGGCGCUGCGUCCUCUCCACCUCUCUCUGACCCCAGACACAUUGGGAGAGAGCGGCCGUGGGGCAGAAGCCAGGAGGAGUGUCCACGCAGCCUCAGCCCGUGGGAAUCCAGCCUGCCUCCAUUACUGCCGUCACCGGCUCCACCUUCGGAGAACAUCUCAGCAUCCAGCCUCCUUCCUCUGCCUCCUCUCAGGCCUCUGCCGUUCCCAUGCAGGGCAGGCCAAACUGUUUUCACAGCAUGGAAAGUUAUGUGAGGGAAGCCACACCGGCCGCAGAUACAGGCACCAGCACAUCCACUCGCAUGCACACUCACGGCUGUGGCCCGCGGCAGAUGGAGGCCCGCUCUGCCUUGUCUGUCCCUCAGUAGUGUGCGAUGACAGCACACCUGUGGGGGCCCUGCAGCUGGGAAGACUGCAGCGAGGCUCAACUCAGAGGCCCCUGCUCAGGAGCAUGGCUGAGUCACACCCCAGGGAGAAGGUGCCCCGGACAGGUGUGGCCAGCACGUCUUGCCAAGACCCCACCACCCCACCCACCCGCAUCUGUGGCCUUCUGGAACCGAGCUGUGGCCUGGGGUUCCAUGGAGCAGGUGGGGCGCGGAGGAACUGAGCUGUGGCCUGGGGUUCCGUGGAGCAGGUUGAGUAUGGAGGAACUGGGGUUCCGUGGAGCAGGUGGGGCGCAGAGGAACCGAGCUGUGGAAUGGGGUUCCGUGGAGCAGGUUGAGUGUGCCGGUCGUGGACGGGUCGUGGGCGGGACUCCCCAGUGUGUCACCACUGAGGCAUCUUCGCCCUCUUACGUGUCUCUGUUUCUCUCUCUAGAAGUCCAACACCUCCGAGAGGACUCAAAACACAGAGUGACCAGCUCCUAUGUGCAUUUCCUGGACAAACCUUUUUUUUUUUUUUUUUUUUGAGACGGAGUCUCGCUCUGUCGCCCAG